GACGAACGCUGGCGGCGUGCUUAACACAUGCAAGUCGAACGGAAAGGCCCUGCUUUUGUGGGGUGCUCGAGUGGCGAACGGGUGAGUAACACGUGAGUAACCUGCCCUUGACUUUGGGAUAACUUCAGGAAACUGGGGCUAAUACCGGAUAGGAGCUCCUGCUGCAUGGUGGGGGUUGGAAAGUUUCGGCGGUUGGGGAUGGACUCGCGGCUUAUCAGCUUGUUGGUGGGGUAGUGGCUUACCAAGGCUUUGACGGGUAGCCGGCCUGAGAGGGUGACCGGCCACAUUGGGACUGAGAUACGGCCCAGACUCCUACGGGAGGCAGCAGUGGGGAAUAUUGCACAAUGGGCGGAAGCCUGAUGCAGCAACGCCGCGUGCGGGAUGACGGCCUUCGGGUUGUAAACCGCUUUCGCCUGUGACGAAGCGUGAGUGACGGUAAUGGGUAAAGAAGCACCGGCUAACUACGUGCCAGCAGCCGCGGUGAUACGUAGGGUGCGAGCGUUGUCCGGAUUUAUUGGGCGUAAAGGGCUCGUAGGUGGUUGAUCGCGUCGGAAGUGUAAUCUUGGGGCUUAACCCUGAGCGUGCUUUCGAUACGGGUUGACUUGAGGAAGGUAGGGGAGAAUGGAAUUCCUGGUGGAGCGGUGGAAUGCGCAGAUAUCAGGAGGAACACCAGUGGCGAAGGCGGUUCUCUGGGCCUUUCCUGACGCUGAGGAGCGAAAGCGUGGGGAGCGAACAGGCUUAGAUACCCUGGUAGUCCACGCUGUAAACGGUGGGUACUAGGUGUGGGGUCCAUUCCACGGGUUCCGUGCCGUAGCUAACGCUUUAAGUACCCCGCCUGGGGAGUACGGCCGCAAGGCUAAAACUCAAAGGAAUUGACGGGGCCCCGCACAAGCGGCGGAGCAUGCGGAUUAAUUCGAUGCAACGCGUAGAACCUUACCUGGGUUUGACAUGGAUCGGGAGCGCUCAGAGAUGGGUGUGCCUCUUUUGGGGUCGGUUCACAGGUGGUGCAUGGCUGUCGUCAGCUCGUGUCGUGAGAUGUUGGGUUAAGUCCCGCAACGAGCGCAACCCUUGUUCACUGUUGCCAGCACGUUAUGGUGGGGACUCAGUGGAGACCGCCGGGGUCAACUCGGAGGAAGGUGGGGAUGACGUCAAGUCAUCAUGCCCCUUAUGACCAGGGCUUCACGCAUGCUACAAUGGCUGGUACAGAGAGUGGCGAGCCUGUGAGGGUGAGCGAAUCUCGGAAAGCCGGUCUCAGUUCGGAUUGGGGUCUGCAACUCGACCUCAUGAAGUCGGAGUCGCUAGUAAUCGCAGAUCAGCAACGCUGCGGUGAAUACGUUCCCGGG
This 1343-nucleotide ribosomal RNA is filed under the name uncultured bacterium. RNAcentral describes it as "16S ribosomal RNA". It matches the Rfam family "Bacterial small subunit ribosomal RNA", at positions 28 to 1378 of the family's 1533-position model. The record is from RNAcentral.